CAAUAGCGUAUAUUUAAGUUGUUGCAGUUAAAAAGCUCGUAGUUGGAUUUCGGGUGGGACGCAGCGGUCUCGCAUUGCGUUUGUACUGCUGCAGCCCUCCUUCUUGCCGGGGGCGGCCUCUCGGACUUCACUGUCUGGGGGUCAGAAUCGGCGAUGUUACUUUGAGUAAAUUAGAGUGUUCAAAGCAAGCUUACGCUCUGAAUAUAAUAGCAUGGGAUAACACGACAGGACUCUGGCCUAUCGUGUUGGUCUAUAGGACCAGAAUAAUGAUUAAGAGGGACAGUCGGGGGCAUUCGUAUUCCGUUGUCAGAGGUGAAAUUCUUGGAUUUACGGAAGACGAACAUCUGCGAAAGCAUUUGCCAAGGAUGUUUNCAUUAA
Molecule: ribosomal RNA, 378 nt
Filed under: uncultured eukaryote
Lineage: Eukaryota
Description: partial 18S ribosomal RNA
Rfam family: Eukaryotic small subunit ribosomal RNA
Source: RNAcentral